Molecule: long non-coding RNA, 825 nt
Filed under: Salmo salar (Atlantic salmon)
Lineage: Eukaryota; Metazoa; Chordata; Actinopteri; Salmoniformes; Salmonidae
Description: lncRNA (ENSSSAG00000094466.1)
Source: RNAcentral
GUAAUUUUGAAUGUUUAGUCAAUUAGCAUUAUGGGUAAUGUAGAGGUUCUACAGUUUCCAAAUUGUCCUACAAAUGCGUAGGCCUACAUCAUAUGCAUUGUGACAGAACAGUAUCCCAUGGAAUACUGAAACAUUCCCAACACAAAAACACAGCGGAAAUAAAGUGGCCAAUGGCAGGACGUGCUUAUUUUGAGUUUAAAUUAGGGAAAUCUGAAAAUUGUAGGAGAUUCCCCAACAGUCUAUCUUCAUGGAUGUUACACCUGGAUGUGUGCACGUCUGCAGAUGGGCUCAGCUACAUACGUGGAAGACACAAGCCAUAAUCACUUUCGCUAUUUUCUGUGGCUUAUAGGUAUUUAGUUGAGUUUUUUUUUUUAAAUGUAUGUGCUAAUGCCAAAAGUAGUAUGUUUGCAUGAGAGACCUUGUUCAAGUGGUAUUACUGUAAUCUGUUCAUCACAUAAGUAUGUCUUCCAAGAUGAUGUUUGCUAGUUAUUCGCAGUCAGCUCAAUUGCAAAGCCUACCAUUAACUACUAUUAAAAUGAUCGUUGUAAAAAAAAAUGCCAGGCCUCUUAUCCCGACUGGCUUUCAGACCUGUCAAUCACCUCUCUGUUUCAACCAAUCAGGGCGCUCGAACGCACUCCAGGGGUCCAACCCGCACUCCUCAGUUAGAGCACGUUCACCUGCCGUUUCAAGAAGAUGCACGUUAUGUUUGAGGGACGCACAACACUUCAAGAUAGAAAACAGCAUGUGGGAGUCCGUCAUUACACAACUUGCAUCUACUUGAGACUGCAGGUGAACACGCUCUAACUUGAGGUGUGCGGGUCGGAG